UAUCAAGUGGCUUCCACAAUAUCACGUGACUGAUGAAAAUACAAACCUCAAACUGGUUUUGCCAAUCAAUCUGAAAGUGAAAAUAGUUUUUAUUGUCAUGCCAUUAUUCAACGGUGCCAUAUCUGAAGAGUAAAACACACUUGAGAGUGAAACGUGUUUACAGUGAACUACGGUAAAAGCCAAAUGGGUGCGUUGGAUUUUUACAACCACUAUAAAUAUUACCAUUUUUUCUCUGUCUGCUUUGGUUUGGGCUGUGCACUGAUUUCCUACAGGCCGUUUUACUCCCUUGUGUUGCCUUUAGUUUUUGGUUUGUUCUUCACGGGGGUUUUUGAAGGUGUGGGUGCAAUUUUUGGUUUGCCAGCACACACUAAAAGAUGUAAGGGUGGACCGUACCAAUGGAAAGAUGUCUUCUGGGGUUACUGUAUGGCUUUUGUUGUGACCUUUCUUUAUCUGAGCUCCUAUCACGUUUAUACUCUGUCUUGUGGCAGUGGUCUUGCUGUGUUUGCCUUAAGAGCGUCGAUACGCAAAUGUAAUGCUCUAUGUAAAAGAAACUUAAAAAGAAAGCGUCGCUAGCAAAAUCGAACUUAGUGAGGUGUCCAUGUAUAUCAAAGCGAACUGUGUGAUUUCAUUGUAGACAUUUAAAUGAAUAUUGUUUAUUAUGUUGUUCUUAACAUAUUUGCUUUUCAAAAAAUGCAUUUUACAAAUGUCUUAAUUCAUAAUUUAUAAAGUCUCUUGCACAAACCAUGACUGCAUUUGUUAAAAACAAAAUACAUAAAAUGAAUAAAAUAAAGUAUUGUGACAUUAUUAAAAUGUAAAAGCUUUUUUUCUGGUUUAAAGGGCACCUAUUUUAACCCUUUUUCAAGAUUUAAGACAAGUCUUUUGUGUCUGCAGAAUA
This 895-nucleotide long non-coding RNA is filed under the name Danio rerio (zebrafish). RNAcentral's name for it is "lncRNA si:ch211-243c14.6 (ENSDARG00000105339.2)". Lineage: Eukaryota; Metazoa; Chordata; Actinopteri; Cypriniformes; Danionidae. The record is from RNAcentral.